Molecule: long non-coding RNA, 1189 nt
Organism: Anolis carolinensis (green anole)
Lineage: Eukaryota; Metazoa; Chordata; Lepidosauria; Squamata; Anolidae
Exons: 3
Source: RefSeq, a predicted model, not a curated record
UGACUGCUUAUAUGUUUGACAUUGCAAUAGGAGUCUCGUGUUUCGCAAGACCUUGCGAAACUACCAUUUCCGCAAUUCCAUGACAUUACAAAAAGGUAAAGGUAAAGGUUUUCCCCUGACGUUCAGUCCAGUCGUGACCGACUCUGGGGGUUGGUGCUCAUAUCCAUUUCUAGGCCGAAGAGCCGGCGUUGUCCAUAGACACCUCCAAGGUCAUGUGGCUGGCAUCACUCUUACCUUCCCGCCGGAGCGGGCUCCGUGCAAUUGCUUGUGCCACCGGGAACAGAGCCAUGGAUUCAGUGCUGCAAUUGAUCCUGACCAAAGCUCCAUCGAUUCUGCAGCAGCAAGAAUGAUUUUUGCUAAGCAAUGGAAAAGUGAAGAUGUUCCGAAGAAAGACAGUUGGCUGAAUAAAAUAAGGGAAAUACGUGACAUGGACAAACUUACAUUUCUUUUGAAAGAAACAAGAGGAAAAAGUGUUAGAGAAACAAACUGGAAAAAAGUAGAUGAUUACCUUAAAAGUUAAAAAAAAUGCAUUAAUUGCUGAACUUUGAGAAAAAUGAGUGAUAAGAUAUAGCUACAUACAGUGUAUAAAUGUAUAAAUUUAAGUAGGGAAGAGAACUUCCCAUAAGAAGGAGUUUCCUGUUAUUGGUUGUAUUGUUUCUUCAUUAUGUAAAAGUUUUUCUUUUCUUCCCCAACCCCCUCCCUUUUUCCUUUACCUUUUGUAAGUUUUUUUUUCUGGUUUAUUAUUAGUAUUUCCCCCCCCCCCCCCUUCCCCUUCUACCCUCACUUUUCCCCGUUUUUAUCUGCAAUCACUGUAUGUGAAAAAGAUUUAAUAAACAUUAUUUAAAAAAAAUAUUUCAAAUGACUUUGUGCAUAAAACUUUGUGCACAUGGGACUGCGCCCAGGCAUUCAGCGAAUAAGCUCACUGGCUGAUGUAAUUGGGUCGCAAAUCUGUAAUUGUAGCAGUAGUGAAUGACUGAGGAUGGUGCAAUAUCGCUGCCUUGCAGUGUUUUAAUUUUUAUAUACUUUUUAUCACGUUUUUAUCAUGUUUUUAUCAUGUUUUAAUUGUUUUGUUUUAUAGUAUAUUUGUUGCUGGCCCUCGUGGCAGAAUGUAAGCCGCUCUGAGUCCCCUCGGGGAGAAGGGCGGGGUAUAAAUGCAUGUAAUAAAUAAUAAUAAAUAAAUGGGACUGUC